Molecule: long non-coding RNA, 215 nt
Filed under: Pan troglodytes (chimpanzee)
Lineage: Eukaryota; Metazoa; Chordata; Mammalia; Primates; Hominidae
Description: long non-coding RNA NONPTRT009042
Source: RNAcentral
GCAGCCCAGAGGCAGACGGGGGCUUGGAGGCAGGGUGGGGAGCAAGGCCAAGGCCGCUCUCUGGCCCCCAGUGUCGCAGGAUGACCUCAGCCCUGGCCUGGCCCCAGAGCAGGUUGCUUCACUGCUGGGCCCUGUGGACUUGUUCUCAUGCUUUGUCAGUGUCGAUGUCGAAAGCCCAAAGUGUUUCCCAAGUCCUGCUACCUUGGUAAGACUCA